RNAcentral lists this long non-coding RNA (790 nucleotides) under Phoenix dactylifera (date palm). RNAcentral's name for it is "long non-coding RNA (PDAC_LNC003169)". Lineage: Eukaryota; Viridiplantae; Streptophyta; Magnoliopsida; Arecales; Arecaceae. The record is from RNAcentral.
UUGGCCAGGCACGUUCAUAAAUGUCACGGUCCGCCUGCGCAGGGCACGUGACUAUCGGGCCCACAUGAGGGGGAAACACGAGGCUCCUCUGCCAGAUGUUGGCCGGUUCCGGGGCUUCACGCAAGCGUCCUUCACCCCUCACCGAUUUUGCUUCUCCCCAAAAACGCAUCUGCAGGAUUUGGAAGCACCCGCCUCAUAUACCCAGGCUCUGAAACGAGCCUCAUGAUCAUGCUUCAAAUAUCAUUUUCAUAAAGUAUGCAUAUGAAACCGUGCCCCCGGCAUGCCGUGGUCCAUACUCUCGGAUGCUACUGCGAAGUCAGUCUCGGCCACUGGCGGAGCCAGCUCAGUUAUUAUUCAGCCACUGGCGGGGUAGGCUCAGUUACUAUUCAGCCACUGGCGGGGCAGGCUCAGUUACUAUUCAGCCACUGGCGGAGCAGGCUCAGUCAUUCUCAGUAGCAUCUUUGAGCCCAUUAUAGUGCCUCUUGGCUAGAUAGUAUUUCGUUAUACUAACUUACAUGCAUGAUUAAAAUAUCAGCAUCAUCAUGUUGCAUACAUAGCCAUAGCUUCUGGGAUCAUGCAAGUUACUUAUGCAUUGUAACAUAUUAUGCAUGAAACAUAUAUACUUAAAAAAAUGCUGAGGAAACAUUAAUAACAUGACAUGAUCCAUAACAGGAUUAGAACAGGUUACUUACUUUCUUCACAAAUCAUGUAUACAAUUCAAAUUGUAUGAAAAAUACUGGUUCAUCUUAUAAAACGUAAUACAAGAUCUACGAUAAGAUUAAGACAGAUU